UACGAAGGGUGCAAGCGUUACUCGGAAUUACUGGGCGUAAAGCGUGCGUAGGCGGGUCUUUAAGUCAGGGGUGAAAUCCUGGAGCUCAACUCCAGAACUGCCUUUGAUACUGAAGAUCUUGAGUUCGGGAGAGGUGAGUGGAACUGCGAGUGUAGAGGUGAAAUUCGUAGAUAUUCGCAAGAACACCAGUGGCGAAGGCGGCUCACUGGCCCGAUACUGACGCUGAGGCACGAAAGCGUGGGGAGCAAACAGG
This 253-nucleotide ribosomal RNA is filed under the name uncultured bacterium. RNAcentral describes it as "partial 16S ribosomal RNA". It matches the Rfam family "Bacterial small subunit ribosomal RNA", at positions 524 to 776 of the family's 1533-position model. The record is from RNAcentral.